GACGAACGCUGGCGGCGUGCUUAACACAUGCAAGUCGAACGGAAAGGCCCUGCUUUUGUGGGGUGCUCGAGUGGCGAACGGGUGAGUAACACGUGAGUAACCUGCCCUUGACUUUGGGAUAACUUCAGGAAACUGGGGCUAAUACCGGAUAGGAGCUCCUGCUGCAUGGUGGGGGUUGGAAAGUUUCGGCGGUUGGGGAUGGACUCGCGGCUUAUCAGCUUGUUGGUGGGGUAGUGGCUUACCAAGGCUUUGACGGGUAGCCGGCCUGAGAGGGUGACCGGCCACAUUGGGACUGAGAUACGGCCCAGACUCCUACGGGAGGAAGCAGUGGGAAUAUUGCACAAUGGGCGGAAGCCUGAUGCAGCAACGCCGCGUGCGGGAUGACGGCCUUCGGGUUGUAAACCGCUUUCGCCUGCGACGAAGCGUGAGUGACGGUAAUGGGUAAAGAAGCACCGGCUAACUACGUG
Molecule: ribosomal RNA, 467 nt
Filed under: uncultured bacterium
Lineage: Bacteria
Description: partial 16S ribosomal RNA
Rfam family: Bacterial small subunit ribosomal RNA
Source: RNAcentral